CUCGUAGGUGGUUUGUCGCGUUGUUCGUGAAAACUCACAGCUCAACUGUGGGCGUGCGGGCGAUACGGGCAGACUUGAGUACUGCAGGGGAGACUGGAAUUCCUGGUGUAGCGGUGGAAUGCGCAGAUAUCAGGAGGAACACCGGUGGCGAAGGCGGGUCUCUGGGCAGUAACUGACGCUGAGGAGCGAAAGCGUGGGGAGCGAACA
This 207-nucleotide ribosomal RNA is filed under the name uncultured bacterium. RNAcentral describes it as "partial 16S ribosomal RNA". It matches the Rfam family "Bacterial small subunit ribosomal RNA", at positions 568 to 774 of the family's 1533-position model. The record is from RNAcentral.